RNAcentral lists this long non-coding RNA (227 nucleotides) under Carica papaya (papaya). RNAcentral's name for it is "long non-coding RNA (CPAP_LNC015296)". The record is from RNAcentral. Lineage: Eukaryota; Viridiplantae; Streptophyta; Magnoliopsida; Brassicales; Caricaceae.
UUUAGAAAUCUCCAAUUCACUUUAUCAUACGGUUCCUCGAAGUCUAACUUUUAGAACUAAGCCUUUUCCUUUUAAUCUUCCUAGUUUAUUCAACUACCUCGUUAACUCAGUAAGUAGUGCUUUCGUCACCCUAUCAUACUCAACUUUAUUUUUAACUCAGAUAAUCAACUUAUUUGAAUUUCAAUAUGUUACUCUCUAAUGUCAAAUUGCCCAAUCCUAUCAUUUCC